This 607-nucleotide ribosomal RNA is filed under the name Escherichia coli. RNAcentral describes it as "partial 23S ribosomal RNA". It matches the Rfam family "Bacterial large subunit ribosomal RNA", at positions 583 to 1191 of the family's 2925-position model. Lineage: Bacteria; Pseudomonadati; Pseudomonadota; Gammaproteobacteria; Enterobacterales; Enterobacteriaceae. The record is from RNAcentral.
CUUUUAUGGGGUGACUGCGUACCUUUUGUAUAAUGGGUCAGCGACUUAUAUUCUGUAGCAAGGUUAACCGAAUAGGGGAGCCGAAGGGAAACCGAGUCUUAACUGGGCGUUAAGUUGCAGGGUAUAGACCCGAAACCCGGUGAUCUAGCCAUGGGCAGGUUGAAGGUUGGGUAACACUAACUGGAGGACCGAACCGACUAAUGUUGAAAAAUUAGCGGAUGACUUGUGGCUGGGGGUGAAAGGCCAAUCAAACCGGGAGAUAGCUGGUUCUCCCCGAAAGCUAUUUAGGUAGCGCCUCGUGAAUUCAUCUCCGGGGGUAGAGCACUGUUUCGGCAAGGGGGUCAUCCCGACUUACCAACCCGAUGCAAACUGCGAAUACCGGAGAAUGUUAUCACGGGAGACACACGGCGGGUGCUAACGUCCGUCGUGAAGAGGGAAACAACCCAGACCGCCAGCUAAGGUCCCAAAGUCAUGGUUAAGUGGGAAACGAUGUGGGAAGGCCCAGACAGCCAGGAUGUUGGCUUAGAAGCAGCCAUCAUUUAAAGAAAGCGUAAUAGCUCACUGGUCGAGUCGGCCUGCGCGGAAGAUGUAACGGGGCUAAACCAUG